Molecule: ribosomal RNA, 301 nt
Filed under: uncultured bacterium
Lineage: Bacteria
Description: partial 16S ribosomal RNA
Rfam family: Bacterial small subunit ribosomal RNA
Source: RNAcentral
CAGCAGCCACGGGAAUACGGAGGGAGCUAGCGUUGUUCGGAAUUACUGGGCGUAAAGCGCGCGUAGGCGGUUACUCAAGUCAGAGGUGAAAGCCCGGGGCUCAACCCCGGAACUGCCUUUGAAACUAGGUGACUAGAAUCUUGGAGAGGUUAGUGGAAUUCCGAGUGUAGAGGUGAAAUUCGUAGAUAUUCGGAAGAACACCAGUGGCGAAGGCGACUGACUGGACAAGUAUUGACGCUGAGGUGCGAAAGCGUGGGGAGCAAACAGGAUUAGAGACCCCGGUAGUCCCUGUCUCUUAUAC